Molecule: ribosomal RNA, 484 nt
Filed under: uncultured bacterium
Lineage: Bacteria
Description: partial 16S ribosomal RNA
Rfam family: Bacterial small subunit ribosomal RNA
Source: RNAcentral
AUUGAACGCUGGCGGCAGGCCUAACACAUGCAAGUCGAGCGGAUGAAGGGAGCUUGCUCCUGGAUUUAGCGGCGGACGGGUGAGUAAUGCCUAGGAAUCUGCCUGGUAGUGGGGGAUAACGUCCGGAAACGGGCGCUAAUACCGCAUACGUCCUGAGGGAGAAAGUGGGGGAUCUUCGGACCUCACGCUAUCAGAUGAGCCUAGGUCGGAUUAGCUAGUUGGUGGGGUAAAGGCCUACCAAGGCGACGAUCCGUAACUGGUCUGAGAGGAUGAUCAGUCACACUGGAACUGAGACACGGUCCAGACUCCUACGGGAGGCAGCAGUGGGGAAUAUUGGACAAUGGGCGAAGGCCUGAUCCAGCCAUGCCGCGUGUGUGAAGAAGGUCUUCGGAUUGUAAAGCACUUUAAGUUGGGAGGAAGGGCAGUAAGUUAAUACCUUGCUGUUUUGACGUUACCAACAGAAUAAGCACCGGCUAACUUCGUG